CAAAAUCAAUUAGUGGGAGAAGGUAUUAAAAAAAAGAAAGAAAACCUGUUAUUUCAAAUAUAUUUCUAGAAAUUACUUUUAAAAUAUUUAAUUAAAAAUACUUUUAAAUUUUUAAAAUUCUUUUUAAGAUAUUUAUUAACAUUGGGAUUAACAUUUUGAUAGUCACAAAAGCCUGGAAAAUAAUUUACUCUAAUUCAGUCCCCUGCACUGCCCCCACUAUUCCUCUGCCUCUACUGAUCUUUCUGAGAUUUACUCACAGUUCUAUUUUUUUAAAUUAGUGUUUUGUGGAUAUACUAGAUAUUGAGAUUCACUGUGAUAUAUUCAUGAUUGUACAUACAAAAGUUUGGUCAGAUUUAUUCCACUGUUUUUCCCUUAUGUAUUCCUUCCUCCUCCUCCUCCUCAAUCCCCUUUAUCUACUCUAAGCUUUACUCCCCACCUUUUUCCCUUUUUAUCUCUCAUUCUUUCUCCCUCCACUUCCCUUAUUUCAGAUUAGUUUCCACAUAUCAGAGAAAAACAUUUGACAUUUGACUUUUGGGACUGGCUGAUUUCAUUUAGCAUGAUAAUCUCCAGUUCCACCCAUUUACUGGCAAAUGCCAUAAUUUCAUUCUUCUUUAUGGAUGAGUAAUACUCCAUAUUUUGAUAAAUGAGGUUGUCUUUCUGUUUUAGUCAGAUUUUUGCUACUGUGACUAAAAGACCUGACAAGAACAAUUUUAGAGAAGGAAAAGUUUAUUUGGGGCUCAUGGUUUCAGAGGUCUCAGUCCAUAGACAGCUAGCUCAAUUGCUCAGAGCUUAAGACCAGACAGAACAUCAUGGUGGAAGAGUGUGAUGGAGGGAAGCAGUUCAUAUGAUGAUCAGAAGCAGAGAAAAUAUAUACCCCAAAGGCACUCCACCCCCAGGGACCCAUUCCUCCAGCCACACCGUACCCACCUUCAGUUACCACUCAGUGAAUACCAUCAGGAGAUUAAUUGAUUGGAUAAGGCUUUCAUUACCCAAUUGUUUCUCCUCUAGACCUUAUUGUAUUCUUGCAUUAUCUUACACAUGAAUUUAGGGGUUUUAGACAUUUCAUAUCCAAACCAUAACACCUUCAUUGUGCCAGAAUUUCCCAAAAGGUUCAGAUUCACCCUUUGGAGGAAGAUCAUCAUAGUAAGCAGGUUGCCUCAGUGAGUGGAGAAUCUUUUCUUCACUCACCCACCUUGGCUUAUAUCCUUUACUGGUCCUCUGCUGGAGUCUGGCUUUGACUCAGUUCUGUAAUUGAGAAAUCAAUUUCCUGAGAACUUGGGCUGCAUCUGGAGUAAAGAGGAUCCAGGAGUUUAUAGGGGAGAAAGGAUCUCUCCUAAUUACACAGUCUCUU
RNAcentral lists this long non-coding RNA (1351 nucleotides) under Marmota monax (woodchuck). Lineage: Eukaryota; Metazoa; Chordata; Mammalia; Rodentia; Sciuridae. The record is from RNAcentral.